CUUAAGUGCAGUUGUGAGUUUUCGUGCCCAACGUUUCGCUCGACUUGUUUGAAUUUUUUUAUAUUAGUAUUUUUAUUUUUAUUAGAGGAUAAAACAUGAAUAUUAUGUUGUGUGUCACUUAUUUUUAAAAAGUUUUUCAAAACUUUUUUAAAUAAGACAGACGGUCAAAUGUUAAAGACGAAAACGCACAACUGCACUUGAA
Non-coding RNA from Oryza meridionalis, 202 nucleotides. NCBI's taxonomy places the organism in Eukaryota, Viridiplantae, Streptophyta, Magnoliopsida, Poales, Poaceae. The record is from Rfam.